This 497-nucleotide ribosomal RNA is filed under the name uncultured bacterium. Its description in RNAcentral is "partial 16S ribosomal RNA". It matches the Rfam family "Bacterial small subunit ribosomal RNA", at positions 28 to 507 of the family's 1533-position model. The record is from RNAcentral.
GAUGAACGCUGGCGGCGUGCCUAAUACAUGCAAGUCGAGCGAACGGACGAGAAGCUUGCUUCUCUGAUGUUAGCGGCGGACGGGUGAGUAACACGUGGAUAACCUACCUAUAAGACUGGGAUAACUUCGGGAAACCGGAGCUAAUACCGGAUGAUAUUUUGAACCGCAUGGUUCAAAAGUGAAAGACGGUCUUGCUGUCACUUAUAGAUGGAUCCGCGCUGCAUUAGCUAGUUGGUAAGGUAACGGCUUACCAAGGCAACGAUGCAUAGCCGACCUGAGAGGGUGAUCGGCCACACUAGAACUGAGACACGGUCCAGACUCCUACGGGAGGCAGCAGUAGGGAAUCUUCCGCAAUGGGCGAAAGCCUGACGGAGCAACGCCGAGUGAGUGAUGAAGGUCUUCGGAUCGUAAAACUCUGUUAUUAGGGAAGAACAUAUGUGUAAGUAACUGUGCACAUCUUGACGGUACCUAAUCAGAAAGCCACGGCUAACUACGUG